AGACGGAGGGCGCAAGCGUUGUUCGGAAUUACUGGGCGUAAAGGGCAGGUAGGUGGUCUGUUAAGUCUUCUGUGAAAAUCCGGGGCUCAACCCCGCGAAAUGCAGGUGAAACUGGCAGACUGGAGACCGGUAGAGGCUAGCGGAAUUCCCGGUGUAGAGGUGAAAUUCGUAGAUAUCAGGAGGAACACCAGUGGCGAAGGCGGCCACCUGGACGGUGACUGACGCUCAGACCCGAAAGCGUGGGGAGCAAACAGGAUUAGAUACCCCAGUAGUCC
Molecule: ribosomal RNA, 275 nt
Filed under: uncultured bacterium
Lineage: Bacteria
Description: partial 16S ribosomal RNA
Rfam family: Bacterial small subunit ribosomal RNA
Source: RNAcentral